UGUCCAGGGAUGGGAAGCGAACCCACAGUGUUCCGUUUACCGGGCAGAUGCCAUGUCCACUAGACUACGCUGGGC
This is a non-coding RNA of Cordylochernes scorpioides, 75 nucleotides long. NCBI's taxonomy places the organism in Eukaryota, Metazoa, Arthropoda, Arachnida, Pseudoscorpiones, Chernetidae. The record is from the annotation of a GenBank genome assembly.